CUUCACCGAGCCGAGCCACAGCGGGUGGCCGGCUGCGCGGUUCCGGCCGUAGGCGGCCAGCAGUGCCUGCGCCUC
Streptomyces ambofaciens ATCC 23877 is the source of this 75-nucleotide non-coding RNA. NCBI's taxonomy places the organism in Bacteria, Bacillati, Actinomycetota, Actinomycetes, Kitasatosporales, Streptomycetaceae. The record is from Rfam.